Molecule: microRNA precursor, 62 nt
Filed under: Xenopus laevis (African clawed frog)
Lineage: Eukaryota; Metazoa; Chordata; Amphibia; Anura; Pipidae
Description: Xla-Mir-1-P3a_pre stem-loop
Rfam family: mir-1 microRNA precursor family
About the family: This family represents the microRNA (miRNA) mir-1 family. miRNAs are transcribed as ~70nt precursors (modelled here) and subsequently processed by the Dicer enzyme to give a ~22nt product. In this case the mature sequence comes from the 3' arm of the precursor.
Source: RNAcentral
ACAUACUUCUUUAUAUGUCCAUAUGAAAGUGCCAAUGCUAUGGAAUGUAAAGAAGUAUGUAU